UCUCAAAACAGUCCUUUCCACCAUUGAAUCUUUCCAUUUUGAAGCAUUUCCCAUCUCAUCUUCUACGAGGAAAAAAAUAGAGAAUUACAAACAAAUUAAAUCUUACCAGGAACACACUGCUCAUGAGAUAGAAUUUCUAAUUUGCUAUCCAGACAAACUCUGAGCAAUUAAUAUGCAAACCAAUCUCAAUUAGCCGAAAAAU
This 202-nucleotide long non-coding RNA is filed under the name Panax ginseng (ginseng). Its description in RNAcentral is "long non-coding RNA (PGIN_LNC003585)". The record is from RNAcentral. Lineage: Eukaryota; Viridiplantae; Streptophyta; Magnoliopsida; Apiales; Araliaceae.